RNAcentral lists this RNase P RNA (367 nucleotides) under Planctomycetota bacterium. Its description in RNAcentral is "RNase P RNA component class A". It matches the Rfam family "Bacterial RNase P class A". Rfam says of the family: Ribonuclease P (RNase P) is a ubiquitous endoribonuclease, found in archaea, bacteria and eukarya as well as chloroplasts and mitochondria. Its best characterised activity is the generation of mature 5'-ends of tRNAs by cleaving the 5'-leader elements of precursor-tRNAs. Lineage: Bacteria; Pseudomonadati; Planctomycetota. The record is from RNAcentral.
UCCGGUCUCCGGGCGACCGCCGGCGGAGCGAUCCGCGGGAGGAAAGUCCGGGCUCCACAGGGCAGGGUGAUGGGCAACGCCCACCGUCCGUCAGGACAGGGAAAGUGCCACAGAAACGACACCGCCGGGAUCCAGGCCGACGUCUGGAUCCGGCAAGGGUGAAAUGGUGAGGCAAGAGCUCACCGGCGGCCGGGCGACCGGCCGUGCAGGGCAAACCCCACCCGGAGGAAGACGCAAUAGGAGGAUCGCGCGGCCCGCGCCCAGAUCCUCGGGUAGGUCGUUCGAGGGCGUCCGCGAGGACGCUCCUAGAGAAAUGGUCGCCACCGCGCGAGCGGGACCAGAACCCGGCUUACGGGGACCGGACAUU